UUUUUUGGAGAGUUUGAUCCUGGCUCAGGACGAACGCUGGCGGCGUGCCUAAUACAUGCAAGUCGAGCGGAGUAAGGUGAAACUUGUUUCACCUAGCUUAGCGGCGGACGGGUGAGUAACACGUAGGUAACCUGCCCAUAAGACUGGGAUAACUACCGGAAACGGUAGCUAAUACCGGAUAGGUUCUUCUCUCGCAUGGGAGGGGAAAGAAAGACGGAGUAAUC
Molecule: ribosomal RNA, 224 nt
Filed under: Paenibacillus sp. FSL H7-0326
Lineage: Bacteria; Bacillati; Bacillota; Bacilli; Caryophanales; Paenibacillaceae
Description: partial 16S ribosomal RNA
Rfam family: Bacterial small subunit ribosomal RNA
Source: RNAcentral